RNAcentral lists this ribosomal RNA (319 nucleotides) under Enterobacter cloacae. RNAcentral describes it as "bacterial SSU rRNA". It matches the Rfam family "Bacterial small subunit ribosomal RNA", at positions 331 to 642 of the family's 1533-position model. The record is from RNAcentral. Lineage: Bacteria; Pseudomonadati; Pseudomonadota; Gammaproteobacteria; Enterobacterales; Enterobacteriaceae.
CCAGACUCCUACGGGAGGCAGCAGUGGGGAAUAUUGCACAAUGGGCGCAAGCCUGAUGCAGCCAUGCCGCGUGUAUGAAGAAGGCCUUCGGGUUGUAAAGUACUUUCAGCGGGGAGGAAGGUGUUGUGGUUAAUAACCACAGCAAUUGACGUUACCCGCAGAAGAAGCACCGGCUAACUCCGUGCCAGCAGCCGCGGUAAUACGGAGGGUGCAAGCGUUAAUCGGAAUUACUGGGCGUAAAGCGCACGCAGGCGGUCUGUCAAGUCGGAUGUGAAAUCCCCGGGCUCAACCUGGGAACUGCAUUCGAAACUGGCAGGCU